GACGAACGCUGGCGGCGUGCCUAACACAUGCAAGUCGAGCGAAUGAAGUUCCUUCGGGAACGGAUUUAGCGGCGGACGGGUGAGUAACACGUGGGCAACCUGCCUCAUAGAGGGGAAUAGCCUUCCGAAAGGGAGAUUAAUACCGCAUAAGAUUGUAGUACCGCAUGGUACAGCAAUUAAAGGAGCAAUCCGCUAUGAGAUGGGCCCGCGGCGCAUUAGCUAGUUGGUGAGGUAACGGCUCACCAAGGCGACGAUGCGUAGCCGACCUGAGAGGGUGAUCGGCCACAUUGGGACUGAGACACGGCCCAGACUCCUACGGGAGGCAGCAGUGGGGAAUAUUGUACAAUGGGGGAAACCCUGAUGCAGCAACGCCGCGUGAGUGAUGACGGCCUUCGGGUUGUAAAGCUCUGUCUUCAGGGACGAUAAUGACGGUACCUGAGGAGGAAGCCACGGCUAACUACGUGCCAGCAGCCGCCGUAA
Molecule: ribosomal RNA, 480 nt
Filed under: uncultured bacterium
Lineage: Bacteria
Description: partial 16S ribosomal RNA
Rfam family: Bacterial small subunit ribosomal RNA
Source: RNAcentral